AUGAACAACGUGCCCCAAAGACUGGGAUAGUCGCUGGAAACGGCGGGUAAUACCGGAUGUGGCCGAUCCUUGGCAUCUUGGAUCGAUUAAAGGUUUUUCGCUUUGGGAGCGGUUCAUGGCUUAUCAGGUAGUUGGUGAGGUAACGGCUCACCAAGCCGACGACGGGUAGCGGGUCUGAGAGGACGAUCCGCUCGAGUGGGACUGAGACACGGCC
Molecule: ribosomal RNA, 214 nt
Filed under: uncultured bacterium
Lineage: Bacteria
Description: partial 16S ribosomal RNA
Rfam family: Bacterial small subunit ribosomal RNA
Source: RNAcentral